RNAcentral lists this ribosomal RNA (1372 nucleotides) under uncultured bacterium. RNAcentral's name for it is "bacterial SSU rRNA". It matches the Rfam family "Bacterial small subunit ribosomal RNA", at positions 28 to 1381 of the family's 1533-position model. The record is from RNAcentral.
GAUGAACGCUGGCGGCGUGCCUAAUACAUGCAAGUCGAGCGAACGGACGAGAAGCUUGCUUCUCUGAUGUUAGCGGCGGACGGGCGAGUAACACGUGGAUAACCUACCUAUAAGACUGGGAUAACUUCGGGAAACCGGAGCUAAUACCGGAUAAUAUUUUGAACCGCAUGGUUCAAAAGUGAAAGACGGUCUUGCUGUCACUUAUAGAUGGAUCCGCGCUGCAUUAGCUAGUUGGUAAGGUAACGGCUUACCAAGGCAACGAUGCAUAGCCGACCUGAGAGGGUGAUCGGCCACACUGGAACUGAGACACGGUCCAGACUCCUACGGGAGGCAGCAGUAGGGAAUCUUCCGCAAUGGGCGAAAGCCUGACGGAGCAACGCCGCGUGAGUGAUGAAGGUCUUCGGAUCGUAAAACUCUGUUAUUAGGGAAGAACAUAUGUGUAAGUAACUGUGCACAUCUUGACGGUACCUAAUCAGAAAGCCACGGCUAACUACGUGCCAGCAGCCGCGGUAAUACGUAGGUGGCAAGCGUUAUCCGGAAUUAUUGGGCGUAAAGCGCGCGUAGGCGGUUUUUUAAGUCUGAUGUGAAAGCCCACGGCUCAACCGUGGAGGGUCAUUGGAAACUGGAAAACUUGAGUGCAGAAGAGGAAAGUGGAAUUCCAUGUGUAGCGGUGAAAUGCGCAGAGAUAUGGAGGAACACCAGUGGCGAAGGCGACUUUCUGGUCUGUAACUGACGCUGAUGUGCGAAAGCGUGGGGAUCAAACAGGAUUAGAUACCCUGGUAGUCCACGCCGUAAACGAUGAGUGCUAAGUGUUAGGGGGUUUCCGCCCCUUAGUGCUGCAGCUAACGCAUUAAGCACUCCGCCUGGGGAGUACGACCGCAAGGUUGAAACUCAAAGGAAUUGACGGGGACCCGCACAAGCGGUGGAGCAUGUGGUUUAAUUCGAAGCAACGCGAAGAACCUUACCAAAUCUUGACAUCCUUUGACAACUCUAGAGAUAGAGCCUUCCCCUUCGGGGGACAAAGUGACAGGUGGUGCAUGGUUGUCGUCAGCUCGUGUCGUGAGAUGUUGGGUUAAGUCCCGCAACGAGCGCAACCCUUAAGCUUAGUUGCCAUCAUUAAGUUGGGCACUCUAAGUUGACUGCCGGUGACAAACCGGAGGAAGGUGGGGAUGACGUCAAAUCAUCAUGCCCCUUAUGAUUUGGGCUACACACGUGCUACAAUGGACAAUACAAAGGGCAGCGAAACCGCGAGGUCAAGCAAAUCCCAUAAAGUUGUUCUCAGUUCGGAUUGUAGUCUGCAACUCGACUACAUGAAGCUGGAAUCGCUAGUAAUCGUAGAUCAGCAUGCUACGGUGAAUACGUUCCCGGGUCU